This 185-nucleotide ribosomal RNA is filed under the name Staphylococcus aureus. RNAcentral describes it as "partial 16S ribosomal RNA". It matches the Rfam family "Bacterial small subunit ribosomal RNA", at positions 1350 to 1533 of the family's 1533-position model. Lineage: Bacteria; Bacillati; Bacillota; Bacilli; Caryophanales; Staphylococcaceae. The record is from RNAcentral.
CAGCAUGCUACGGUGAAUACGUUCCCGGGUCUUGUACACACCGCCCGUCACACCACGAGAGUUUGUAACACCCGAAGCCGGUGGAGUAACCUUUUAGGAGCUAGCCGUCGAAGGUGGGACAAAUGAUCGGGGUGAAGUCGUAACAAGGUAGCCGUAUCGGAAGGUGCGGCUGGAUCACCUCCUUU